AUACACAAUAAAGCUAAUUAAUAUUAAUAGUAAUCUAAUGGUGCUAGAUUAAUCUGAUAGAUCCAACGGUGGAGGAUGGAUGGAGCUAACGGUCAUAUGGAAUUUAAUAUCUCUGCAGCUUUACCCAUCUUUCACAUUUUUCAUCGGAGAGGAGAGGACACACUUCUAGAGCGAGCAGAGUGGAGAGGGAGAGAGAGGGGGGAAAACAUUUUCCAUGGCUGUUGUUUGUCGUUUUUCAUGGCCGUUCAUCCAUUUCCGGUUCACGACAGAAUAAGCGAAUUGGUUUUAUUUUCCAAUUAUUUUUGUCGAUUGCUUCAGUUUUUUAAGCCUUCGGUUUCGCAGGUUCAAAUCGAACGCCAUUCUUGCUCAGAGUUUAUGGUUCUUCUUGUUGAAAGAGAGGAGGCCGGGAACCCUAAUUCGAUUACUCCAUGCCACCUUCGAGAUUCUGGAACUUGAGUUGAUAUACACAAUCGAACACACACUUAAGGAUUUGAUGCAAAUAAGAUGACAAGGGCAUCAUGGAUAGCCAUUAUUUUUGCAACUCUCUUGGCAGUACCACAAUCUUUGAUUAUUAUUUGAAAAGUGACAAAAGAUGGGAUUGAGUUAAGACUAAUAAUGUGGGUUUGCAACUUACUUGGUCAACUCACGCCCAAUCUCGCUUAUGAUAUGAGAAGAGGUGAAGAGGGGAUACAAGACAUGUUGACUCAUAAGAAAAAAAAAAACGAGGAAAACAGGACAAAGAGAGAAAAGAAAGGAAAAAAAAAAAAAAAAUGUCAAGAAGAAAAAGAAAAAACAGAAAAGCACCAAGAAAGUUCUGAAAAAAUCAAAAAGAUCAUGGAAAGAGAAGAAGAAAAAGGAAGGAAAAGAGAAGUCUACCUUGGCCUAACUCUAUGCAAUCUUUGGGUUGUUAUUCUAGAAUCAUCAAAGGAUGGGAUCGAAUUUACAGCUUGUUUGGUAAGUUGGUGACAUAAUUGUGGUUUCUCUUUUAUGUAAAAUACAUGACAAUGAAGCACUAGCCCUUGGUUUCCUCAUGAACAUUAAAGGCUUGGUGGAGCUCAUUGUCUGUAACAUUAGGAAAGACCGUGAGGUAUAUAACUAUACAACCAUCUAAUUAGUUUGAUGUUUUACCAUCACCUAAUGUCUCUUAUCUAAUUUUGCAUAUCUUGAUGGUCAAAUGUUUGCAAUCAUGGUGUGGAUGGCUUUAUUCAUUGCAAACUCUCGCAAACUAGAAGGUGUAUGAAGAUGUAAUCAGGAUGUUGACUGAAAAUAUAGGACAAAAAAUCUGAAAAGAACAGAAAAAAGGGAGGAAAAAAAGGGGGGGAAAAAAUUAUUCAAUUCAAAACUGUAUUUAUAUGGUUUGAAGAUAAUUAUUGUUUUGUUUGUUGUCUAAAUUUUAGCAGUUUAUUUUAACUUUUUCCAUUGCUAGGAGUUCAAUUGUUAUUUACUCUGUUUCAUGCCUGGCAAUUUUCUUGUUCUUUUGUAAUGCAAGCUGUGUUCCAUGUUCAAGAAAAUGUCAUAUUUAUUCCUCUUUUUGGGGUAUUUUGCUUGGAGUAUGAGUUUGUUUUUUGCUCUCUGCCUCACUCAGUUGUAUUCACUCAGACUUAGUCAUAAAUUGUAAGGGUUGUUUGUUUAUAUUUGUGAGUAUGUUUUAUGAGUAUAUCUGAAAUUGGUUUGAAGGUGAUCUCACUCACUGUAUAUUUGUUAUGUGAAUUACAGCCCCAUUGGGUUAUUACGUUUGGAUUUGGUUCCACAUUAAUGUGUAUAAAAGGUGAUAGUUAUCUGCUGCCAUGCUAAACGAGAGACUUCUGUGCCAGGUGACUUGAGGCGUCGGACUUGAGCCAACCCCUACACCACCGGACCGGUCAUCUCUUAUGGACUAUAAAUGAUGUAUUUGAUUUGCUUAUGAGAGCAGCAUUUGAUUCGGACAAGCGACUCGAGGAGAGCCAAGAGUGCAGUCCAGUGGCCACGUGGACCAAUCACUGUAGUCCAACAGAAAUUCCACGUCAGCCCACAGAUUUCCACGUAGGAUGCCAAGUGCGGUCCGCCUCGGAGGAGGAGGAAUAUUCACUCCCGCUUAAGGAAUUAUGCUCCUACUUAUGCGAAUAUGCUUUCUGCCAACCAUGAUUGAGCGUCAUGUACAUUGACAAUAUUGCCCCUGUCUGGCCCCCUGCCGCCCUCCUCCCUUUAAGCCGCAUCCCCGUCGAUUGACAUUUUUGCCCCUGAAGGUUUUACGGUGCGACAUUCUUUAAACAAUAUUUAAUUUAUUUGGAUAAUAGUCGAAAUUUUAUGUAACUAAAAAAAAUUGCAAUAAUACUAUAUUUUGGUGU
Andrographis paniculata is the source of this 2327-nucleotide long non-coding RNA. RefSeq lists it as uncharacterized. The transcript is spliced from 6 exons. NCBI's taxonomy places the organism in Eukaryota, Viridiplantae, Streptophyta, Magnoliopsida, Lamiales, Acanthaceae. The record is from RefSeq and is a predicted model, not a curated record.